AAUGUUGACCUCGGAUCAGGUAGGAAUACCCGCUGAACUUAAGCAUAUCAUAGUCGGGGAGGAAUA
RNAcentral lists this ribosomal RNA (66 nucleotides) under Fusarium proliferatum. RNAcentral describes it as "partial 28S ribosomal RNA". The record is from RNAcentral. Lineage: Eukaryota; Fungi; Ascomycota; Sordariomycetes; Hypocreales; Nectriaceae.